Molecule: ribosomal RNA, 253 nt
Filed under: uncultured bacterium
Lineage: Bacteria
Description: partial 16S ribosomal RNA
Rfam family: Bacterial small subunit ribosomal RNA
Source: RNAcentral
UACGAAGGGGGCUAGCGUUGCUCGGAAUCACUGGGCGUAAAGGGUGCGUAGGCGGGUCUUUAAGUCAGGGGUGAAAUCCUGGAGCUCAACUCCAGAACUGCCUUUGAUACUGAGGAUCUUGAGCCCGGGAGAGGUGAGUGGAACUGCGAGUGUAGAGGUGAAAUUCGUAGAUAUUCGCAAGAACACCAGUGGCGAAGGCGGCUCACUGGCCCGGUACUGACGCUGAGGCACGAAAGCGUGGGGAGCAAACAGG